AUUGAACGCUGGCGGCAGGCCUAACACAUGCAAGUCGAACGGUAGCAGGAAGAAGCUUGCUUCUUUGCUGACGAGUGGCGGACGGGUGAGUAAUGUCUGGGAAACUGCCUGAUGGAGGGGGAUAACUACUGGAAACGGUAGCUAAUACCGCAUAACGUCGCAAGACCAAAGAGGGGGAACUUCGGGCCUCUGGCCAUAUGAUGUGCCCAGAUGGGAUUAGCUAGUAGGUGGGGUAACGGCUCACCUAGGCGACGAUCCCUAGCUGGUCUGAGAGGAUGACCAGCCACACUGGAACUGAGACACGGUCCAGACUCCUACGGGAGGCAGCAGUGGGGAAUAUUGCACAAUGGGCGCAAGCCUGAUGCAGCCAUGCCGCGUGUGUGGAGAAGGCCUUCGGGUUGUAAAGCACUUUCAGCGGGGAGGAAGGGGGAAUGGUUAAUAACCAUUGCCAUUGACGUUACCCGCAGAAGAAGCACCGGCUAACUCCGUGCCAGCCGCCGCGGUAA
RNAcentral lists this ribosomal RNA (506 nucleotides) under uncultured bacterium. RNAcentral's name for it is "partial 16S ribosomal RNA". It matches the Rfam family "Bacterial small subunit ribosomal RNA", at positions 30 to 523 of the family's 1533-position model. The record is from RNAcentral.